Long non-coding RNA from Onychomys torridus (southern grasshopper mouse), 300 nucleotides. RefSeq lists it as uncharacterized. The transcript has 3 exons. The record is from RefSeq and is a predicted model, not a curated record. Lineage: Eukaryota; Metazoa; Chordata; Mammalia; Rodentia; Cricetidae.
UGUUACUUUUAUCAUCACUGUGGCCCAAAAUCUGACAAGAUGCAACUUCGAAGAGGAAGGUUUGAUUUUGGCUUUCAACAUGAGGGUGCAGUCCACCAUGGUGGGAAAGGCACCGCCCACUGCAUGGAAAGGCAGGCACAAGUAGCCCGGGUGAGGUUGCAGCAGAUGCAAGGACAUCCACAGCAGAAGAUGAUGGCCAACAGUGACAGAAAUGGCGAUGAUUCUGGAAGUCUGGACUAGAAAAGAUGACCCCCAAAGUGAACCUGAGUUGAAAUACUUCAAGCGCACAAAGAGCACAGU